This 538-nucleotide ribosomal RNA is filed under the name uncultured bacterium. Its description in RNAcentral is "bacterial SSU rRNA". It matches the Rfam family "Bacterial small subunit ribosomal RNA", at positions 1 to 534 of the family's 1533-position model. The record is from RNAcentral.
GCCCUUAGAGUUUGAUCCUGGCUCAGAUUGAACGCUGGCGGUAUGCUUAACACAUGCAAGUCGAACGGUAGCAGGUCCAGCUUGCUGGAUGCUGACGAGUGGCGGACGGGUGAGUAACGCGUAGGAAUCUACCUUGUAGUGGGGGAUAACCUGGGGAAACCCAGGCUAAUACCGCAUAAGUCUUAAGGGAGAAAGCUGGGGACCUUCGGGCCUAGCGCUAUAAGAUGAGCCUGCGCCAGAUUAGCUAGUUGGUGGGGUAAAGGCCUACCAAGGCGAAGAUCUGUAGCUGUUCUGAGAGGAAGAUCAGCCACACUGGGACUGAGACACGGCCCAGACUCCUACGGGAGGCAGCAGUGGGGAAUAUUGGACAAUGGGCGAAAGCCUGAUCCAGCAAUACCGCGUGUGUGAAGAAGGCCUGCGGGUUGUAAAGCACUUUCAGUGGGGAGGAAGGCUUUAAGGUUAAUAACCUUGAGGAUUGACGUUACCCACAGAAGAAGCACCGGCUAACUCUGUGCCAGCAGCCGCGGUAAUAAGGGCG